RNAcentral lists this unclassified non-coding RNA (334 nucleotides) under soil metagenome. RNAcentral's name for it is "partial contains 5.8S ribosomal RNA, internal transcribed spacer 2, and large subunit ribosomal RNA". The stretch from base 1 to 120 matches the Rfam family "5.8S ribosomal RNA", at positions 35 to 154 of the family's 154-position model. The record is from RNAcentral.
GAUGAAGAACGCAGUGAAAUGCGAUAAGUAGUGUGAAUUGCAGAAUUCAGUGAAUCAUCGAAUCUUUGAACGCACAUUGCGCCCCUUGGUAUUCCAUGGGGCAUGCCUGUUCGAGCGUCAUUUGUACCUUCAAGCUCUGCUUGGUGUUGGGUGAUUGUCUAUCUUUAUAGACUCGCCUUAAAGUCAUUGGCAGCCGGCAUAUUGGCCUGGGAGCGCAGCACAAGUCGCGCUUCUUGUCAUGAAUGUUGGCGUCCAGUAAGUCUACAUAUUUUGCUCUUGACCUCGGAUCAGGUAGGGAUACCCGCUGAACUUAAGCAUAUCAAUAAGCGGAGGA